UACGAAGGGUGCAAGCGUUGUUCGGAUUUAUUGGGCGUAAAGCGCGCGCAGGCGGAAUGGCAAGUCAGAUGUGAAAUCUCGGGGCUCAACCCCGAACGUGCGUCUGAAACUGCUUUUCUAGAAUCUCGGAGGGGGUAGGGGAAUUUCUCAUGUAGGGGUAAAAUCCGUAGAGAUGAGAAGGAACACCGGAGGCGAAGGCGCCUACCUGGACGAGUAUUGACGCUGAGGCGCGAAAGCGUGGGGAGCAAACAGG
RNAcentral lists this ribosomal RNA (253 nucleotides) under uncultured bacterium. RNAcentral describes it as "partial 16S ribosomal RNA". It matches the Rfam family "Bacterial small subunit ribosomal RNA", at positions 524 to 776 of the family's 1533-position model. The record is from RNAcentral.